RNAcentral lists this ribosomal RNA (460 nucleotides) under uncultured bacterium. RNAcentral's name for it is "partial 16S ribosomal RNA". It matches the Rfam family "Bacterial small subunit ribosomal RNA", at positions 338 to 795 of the family's 1533-position model. The record is from RNAcentral.
CCUACGGGAGGCUGCAGUGAGGAAUAUUGGUCAAUGGACGGAAGUCUGAACCAGCCAUGCCGCGUGCAGGAAGACGGCUCUAUGAGUUGUAAACUGCUUUUGUACAAGGGUAAACCUGAAUACGUGUAUUCAGCUGAAAGUACUGUACGAAUAAGGAUCGGCUAACUCCGUGCCAGCAGCCGCGGUAAUACGGAGGAUCCAAGCGUUAUCCGGAUUUAUUGGGUUUAAAGGGUGCGUAGGCGGAUUGAUAAGUUAGAGGUGAAAUGUCCGGGCUUAACUCGGGAACUGCCUCUAAUACUGUUGUUCUAGAGAGUAGAUGCGGUAGGCGGAAUGUCUGGUGUAGCGGUGAAAUGCUUAGAGAUCAGACAGAACACCGAUUGCGAAGGCAGCUUACCAAUCUAUAUCUGACGUUGAGGCACGAAAGCGUGGGGAGCAAACAGGAUUAGAUACCCCUGUAGUC